GAUGAAUAACGCAGCGAAAUGCGAUACUUGGUGUGAAUUGCAGAAUCCCGUGAACCAUCGAGUCUUUGAACGCAAGUUGCGCCCGAAGCCACUAGGCCGAGGGCACGCCUGCCUGGGCGUCACACGCCGUUGCCCCCCCAUCUACUCCUUCGGGAUUGCGGGGGGGCGGAUGAUGGCCUCCCGUGCGCCUAGCCGCGCGGUUGGCAUAAAUACCAAGUCCUCGGCGACGCACGCCACGACAAUCGGUGGUUGCGAAACCUCGGUUGCCCGUCGUGUGCGUUCGUCGCGCAUCGAGGGCUCGAAAAAAUGCUCGGCUCCGGCUGGGCUUUCAACGCGACCCCAGGUCAGGCGGGGUUACCCGCUGAAUUUAAGCAUAUCAAUAAGCGGAGGA
Molecule: unclassified non-coding RNA, 391 nt
Filed under: soil metagenome
Description: partial contains 5.8S ribosomal RNA, internal transcribed spacer 2, and large subunit ribosomal RNA
Rfam family: 5.8S ribosomal RNA (bases 1-122)
Source: RNAcentral